This 119-nucleotide ribosomal RNA is filed under the name Pteropus alecto (black flying fox). Lineage: Eukaryota; Metazoa; Chordata; Mammalia; Chiroptera; Pteropodidae. The record is from RNAcentral.
GUCUACGGCCCUGCCACCCUGAACAAGCCCAAUCCCAUCUGAUCUCGAAAGCUAAGCAGGGUCAAGCCUGGUUAGUACUUGGAUGGGCAACCGCAUAGGAAGACCAGGUCCUGUAGGCA